RNAcentral lists this ribosomal RNA (98 nucleotides) under Staphylococcus intermedius. Its description in RNAcentral is "partial 23S ribosomal RNA". It matches the Rfam family "Bacterial large subunit ribosomal RNA", at positions 2828 to 2925 of the family's 2925-position model. Lineage: Bacteria; Bacillati; Bacillota; Bacilli; Caryophanales; Staphylococcaceae. The record is from RNAcentral.
AUAAGAUCCCUCAAAGAUGAUGAGGUUAAUAGGUUCGAGGUGGAAGCGUAGCGAUACGUGGAGCUGACGAAUACUAAUCGAUCGAAGACUUAAUCAAA